ACGAACGCUGGCGGCGUGCUUAACACCUGCAAGUCGCACGCUGAAGCUUGGUGCUUGCACUGGGUGGAUGAGUGGCGAACGGGUGAGUAAUAAGUGAGUAACCUGCCCUUGACUCUGGGAUAAGCCUGGGAAACUGGGUCUAAUACUGGAUACGACAUGUCACCGCAUGGUGGUGUGUGGAAAGGGUUUUACUGGUUUUGGAUGGGCUCACGGCCUAUCAGCUUGUUGGUGGGGUAAUGGCUCACCAAGGCGACGACGGGUAGCCGGCCUGAGAGGGUGACCGGCCACACUGGGACUGAGACACGGCCCAGACUCCUACGGGAGGCAGCAGUGGGGAAUAUUGCACAAUGGGCGGAAGCCUGAUGCAGCGACGCCGCGUGAGGGAUGACGGCCUUCGGGUUGUAAACCUCUUUCAGCACGGAAGAAGCGAAAGUGACGGUACGUGCAGAAGAAGCGCCGGCUAACUACGUG
This 471-nucleotide ribosomal RNA is filed under the name uncultured bacterium. Its description in RNAcentral is "partial 16S ribosomal RNA". It matches the Rfam family "Bacterial small subunit ribosomal RNA", at positions 29 to 507 of the family's 1533-position model. The record is from RNAcentral.